Molecule: ribosomal RNA, 624 nt
Filed under: uncultured bacterium
Lineage: Bacteria
Description: bacterial SSU rRNA
Rfam family: Bacterial small subunit ribosomal RNA
Source: RNAcentral
AACCUUCCGUACACUCAGGGAUAGCCUUUCGAAAGAAAGAUUAAUACCUGAUGGUAUGAUGAGAUUGCAUGAUAGCAUCAUUAAAGAUUUAUCGGUGUACGAUGGGGAUGCGUUCCAUUAGGUAGUAGGCGGGGUAACGGCCCACCUAGCCAACGAUGGAUAGGGGUUCUGAGAGGAAGGUCCCCCACAUUGGAACUGAGACACGGUCCAAACUCCUACGGGAGGCAGCAGUGAGGAAUAUUGGUCAAUGGACGAGAGUCUGAACCAGCCAAGUAGCGUGAAGGAUGAAGGUCCUACGGAUUGUAAACUUCUUUUAUAAGGGAAUAAACCCUCCCACGUGUGGGAGCUUGUAUGUACCUUAUGAAUAAGCAUCGGCUAACUCCGUGCCAGCAGCCGCGGUAAUACGGAGGAUGCGAGCGUUAUCCGGAUUUAUUGGGUUUAAAGGGAGCGCAGACGGGUCGUUAAGUCAGCUGUGAAAGUUUGGGGCUCAACCUUAAAAUUGCAGUUGAUACUGGCGUCCUUGAGUGCGGUUGAGGUGUGCGGAAUUCGUGGUGUAGCGGUGAAAUGCUUAGAUAUCACGAAGAACUCCGAUUGCGAAGGCAGCACACUAAUCCGUAACUGACG